Molecule: ribosomal RNA, 413 nt
Filed under: uncultured bacterium
Lineage: Bacteria
Description: bacterial SSU rRNA
Rfam family: Bacterial small subunit ribosomal RNA
Source: RNAcentral
GUGCCAGCAGCCGCGGUAAUACGUGAACCCCGAGCGUUAUCCGGAAUCAUUGGGCGUAAAGGGUCCGUAGGCGGUUAUAUUAGUCGUGUGUCAAAGCACCGGGCUCAACCCGGGACACGCAUACGAAACGGUAUAACUAGAGAGCAACAGAGGUAUACGGAACUCAUGGUGUAGGGGUGAAAUCCGUUGAUAUCAUGAGGAACACCAAAUGCGAAGGCAGUAUACUGGGUUGUUUCUGACGCUGAGGGACGAAACCCUGGGUAGCGAAUGGGAUUAGAUACCCCAGUAGUCCAGGGCCUAAACGAUGCACACUAGCUUUCGGGAGAAUCGACCCUCUCGGAGGCAAAGCUAACGCGUUAAGUGUGCCGCCUGGGGAGUACGGUCGCAAGGCUAAAACUCAAAUAAAUUGACGG